This 274-nucleotide ribosomal RNA is filed under the name uncultured bacterium. RNAcentral describes it as "partial 16S ribosomal RNA". It matches the Rfam family "Bacterial small subunit ribosomal RNA", at positions 523 to 796 of the family's 1533-position model. The record is from RNAcentral.
AUACAGAGGGUGCGAGCGUUAAUCGGAAUUACUGGGCGUAAAGCGCGCGUAGGCGGUCUAUUAAGUCAGAUGUGAAAUCCCAGGGCUCAACCUUGGAACUGCAUCUGAUACUGGUAGACUAGAGUUUUGGAGAGGGAAGUAGAAUUUCAGGUGUAGCGGCGAAAUGCAUAGAGAUCUGAAGGAAUACCAGUGGCGAAGGCGACUUCCUGGCCAAAAACUGACGCUGAGGUGCGAAAGCGUGGGUAGCAAACGGGAUUAGAAACCCUAGUAGUCC